This is a long non-coding RNA of Ictalurus punctatus (channel catfish), 519 nucleotides long. RefSeq lists it as uncharacterized. NCBI's taxonomy places the organism in Eukaryota, Metazoa, Chordata, Actinopteri, Siluriformes, Ictaluridae. The transcript is spliced from 4 exons. The record is from RefSeq and is a predicted model, not a curated record.
CGUUGUUUGGUUGGUCUAUUGGUAUUAUGUUUUGCUCUUGCUUCUACCAUAUACCAGACUCGUUAUUCUGAAGCAAACGUAUGGAAAGAGAAGCUUGAAAAAGAAGCUUGCUGCCAGAGAAUUAGCAUCAGGGGUCACGGGGAGCCUGCAGUCUAUCCCAGGGGACUCGGGGCAUGAGGCAAGAGCUUAUCCUGCACAGGCUCGGAGUGGAGUGUGGAGCCUAUCCCAGGGAACUUGGGGCACAAGGCAGGGGGCAUGGUCAGAGUACCAAGCCAUCACAGGGCACAAUCGCACACACAUUCACACACUAUGGACAAUUUGGAAAUGCCAAUCAGCGAAUGUCUUUGGACUGGGGGAGGAAAAACUGGGUGCCCGGAGGAAACCCCUAAGGCACAGGAAGAACAUGCAAGUUCUGCACACCUAGGGUGGAAGCAGGAUUCGAGCCACCACCCCCCAAAGGUAUGAGGCAAAUGUGCUAACCACUAAGCCACCAUACCUCCUGCAUGUUUAAGAUAAGAU